GGUUAAGCGACUAAGCGUACACGGUGGAUGCCCUGGCAGUCAGAGGCGAUGAAGGACGUGCUAAUCUGCGAUAAGCGCCGGUAAGGUGAUAUGAACCGUUAUAACCGGCGAUUUCCGAAUGGGGAAACCCAGUGUGACUCGUCACACUAUCAUUAACUGAAUCCAUAGGUUAAUGAGGCGAACCGGGGGAACUGAAACAUCUAAGUACCCCGAGGAAAAGAAAUCAACCGAGAUUCCCCCAGUAGCGGCGAGCGAACGGGGAGGAGCCCAGAGCCUGAAUCAGCAUGUGUGUUAGUGGAAGCGUCUGGAAAGGCGCGCGAUACAGGGUGACAGCCCCGUACACAAAAGCGCAUGUGCUGUGAGCUCGAUGAGUAGGGCGGGACACGUGGUAUCCUGUCUGAAUAUGGGGGGACCAUCCUCCAAGGCUAAAUACUCCUGACUGACCGAUAGUGAACCAGUACCGUGAGGGAAAGGCGAAAAGAACCCCGGCGAGGGGAGUGAAAAAGAACCUGAAACCGUGUACGUACAAGCAGUGGGAGCACCCUUUGGGGUGUGACUGCGUACCUUUUGUAUAAUGGGUCAGCGACUUAUAUUCUGUAGCAAGGUUAACCGAAUAGGGGAGCCGGAGGGAAACCGAGUCUUAACCGGGCGUUAAGUUGCAGGGUAUAGACCCGAAACCCGGUGAUCUAGCCAUGGGCAGGUUGAAGGUUGGGUAACACUAACUGGAGGACCGAACCGACUAAUGUUGAAAAAUUAGCGGAUGACCUGUGGCUGGGGGUGAAAGGCCAAUCAAACCGGGAGAUAGCUGGUUCUCCCCGAAAGCUAUUUAGGUAGCGCCUCGUGAAUUCAUCUCCGGGGGUAGAGCACUGUUUCGGCUAGGGGGCCAUCCCGGCUUACCAACCCGAUGCAAACUGCGAAUACCGGAGAAUGUUAUCACGGGAGACACACGGCGGGUGCUAACGUCCGUCGUGAAGAGGGAAACAACCCAGACCGCCAGCUAAGGUCCCAAAGUCAUGGUUAAGUGGGAAACGAUGUGGGAAGGCCCAGACAGCCAGGAUGUUGGCUUAGAAGCAGCCAUCAUUUAAAGAAAGCGUAAUAGCUCACUGGUCGAGUCGGCCUGCGCGGAAGAUGUAACGGGGCUAAACCAUGCACCGAAGCUGCGGCAGCGACGCUGAUGCGUUGUUGGGUAGGGGAGCGUUC
This 1200-nucleotide ribosomal RNA is filed under the name Salmonella enterica. RNAcentral describes it as "partial 23S ribosomal RNA". It matches the Rfam family "Bacterial large subunit ribosomal RNA", at positions 1 to 1241 of the family's 2925-position model. Lineage: Bacteria; Pseudomonadati; Pseudomonadota; Gammaproteobacteria; Enterobacterales; Enterobacteriaceae. The record is from RNAcentral.